GACGAACGCUGGCGGCGUGCUUAACACAUGCAAGUCGAACGGAAAGGCCCUGCUUUUGUGGGGUGCUCGAGUGGCGAACGGGUGAGUAACACGUGAGUAACCUGCCCUUGACUUUGGGAUAACUUCAGGAAACUGGGGCUAAUACCGGAUAGGAGCUCCUGCUGCAUGGUGGGGGUUGGAAAGUUUCCGCGGUUGGGGAUGGACUCGCGGCUUAUCAGCUUGUUGGUGGGGUAGUGGCUUACCAAGGCUUUGACGGGUAGCCGGCCUGAGAGGGUGACCGGCGACAUUGGGACUGAGAUACGGCCCAGACUCCUACGGGAGGCAGCAGUGGGGAAUAUUGCACAAUGGGCGGAAGCCUGAUGCAGCAACGCCGCGUGCGGGAUGACGGCCUUCGGGUUGUAAACCGCUUUCGCCUGUGACGAAGCGUGAGUGACGGUAAUGGGUAAAGAAGCACCGGCUAACUACGUG
This 468-nucleotide ribosomal RNA is filed under the name uncultured bacterium. Its description in RNAcentral is "partial 16S ribosomal RNA". It matches the Rfam family "Bacterial small subunit ribosomal RNA", at positions 28 to 507 of the family's 1533-position model. The record is from RNAcentral.